AGAGCGAACGCUGGCGGCAGGCUUAACACAUGCAAGUCGAGCGGGCGUAGCAAUACGUCAGCGGCAGACGGGUGAGUAACGCGUGGGAACGUACCUUUUGGUUCGGAACAACUGAGGGAAACUUCAGCUAAUACCGAAUAAGCCCUUACGGGGAAAGAUUUAUCGCCGAAAGAUCGGCCCGCGUCUGAUUAGCUUGUUGGUGAGGUAAUGGCUCACCAAGGCGACGAUCAGUAGCUGGUCUGAGAGGAUGAUCAGCCACAUUGGGACUGAGACACGGCCCAAACUCCUACGGGAGGCAGCAGUGGGGAAUAUUGGACAAUGGGCGCAAGCCUGAUCCAGCCAUGCCGCGUGAGUGAUGAAGGCCCUAGGGUUGUAAAGCUCUUUUGUGCGGGAAGAUAAUGACGGUACCGCAAGAAUAAGCCCCGGCUAACUUCGUGCCAGCAGCCGC
RNAcentral lists this ribosomal RNA (448 nucleotides) under uncultured bacterium. Its description in RNAcentral is "SSU rRNA". It matches the Rfam family "Bacterial small subunit ribosomal RNA", at positions 26 to 518 of the family's 1533-position model. The record is from RNAcentral.